Small nucleolar RNA from Humulus lupulus (European hop), 107 nucleotides. Lineage: Eukaryota; Viridiplantae; Streptophyta; Magnoliopsida; Rosales; Cannabaceae. The record is from RefSeq and is a predicted model, not a curated record.
AUCCCUUGAUGAGGGAAUUUUCUUAGAAACUUCUUGAACCUUUCCCAUGCAUCAUACAAGGAUUCUCUAUCAUUGUGAAGGAAAUUUUUUAUCUCACCACUUAAUCU